GACGAACCGUGCGAACGUUAUUCGGAAUCACUGGGCUUAAAGGGCGCGUAGGCGGUCUGCCAAGUCUGGGGUGAAAUCCUCCGGCUCGACCGGAGAACGGCCUCGGAUACUGGCGGUCUCGAGGGAGGUAGGGGCGUGCGGAACUAAGGGUGGAGCGGUGAAAUGCGUUGAUAUCCUUAGGAACUCCGGUGGCGAAGGCGGCACGCUGGACCUCUUCUGACGCUGAGGCGCGAAAGCCAGGGGAGCAAACGGG
RNAcentral lists this ribosomal RNA (253 nucleotides) under uncultured bacterium. RNAcentral's name for it is "partial 16S ribosomal RNA". It matches the Rfam family "Bacterial small subunit ribosomal RNA", at positions 524 to 776 of the family's 1533-position model. The record is from RNAcentral.